This 1427-nucleotide ribosomal RNA is filed under the name uncultured Bordetella sp. RNAcentral's name for it is "partial 16S-23S ribosomal RNA intergenic spacer". It matches the Rfam family "Bacterial small subunit ribosomal RNA". The record is from RNAcentral. Lineage: Bacteria; Pseudomonadati; Pseudomonadota; Betaproteobacteria; Burkholderiales; Alcaligenaceae.
GUUCGAUCAUGAGAUUGAACUGGCGGGAUGCUUUACACAUGCAAGUCGAGCGGCAGCGGCGCUGGACUGGUUCUGGUGGCGAGUGGCGAGCAGGUGAGUAAUGUAUCGGAACGUGCCUAGUAGCGGGGGAUAACUACGCGAAAGCGUAGCUAAUACCACAUACGCCCUUCGAGGGAAAGCGGGGACCUUCGGGCUCGCACUAUUAAAACGGCCGAUAUCGGAUUAGCUGGUUGGUGGGGUAACGGCUCGCAAGGCGACGAUCCGUAGCUGGUUUGAAGGAGACGACCAUUGCGGGACUGAGACACGGCCCAGACUCCUGCAGGAGGCAGCAGUGGGGAAUUUUGGACAAUGGGGAAACCUGAUCAGCCAUCCCGCGUGUGCGAUGAAGGCCUUCGGGUUGUAAAGCACUUUUGGCAGAAGAAACGGCGGGAUAAUACCCGAUGCAACUGACAAUACCUGCGGAAUAAGCACCGUUAACUUACGUGCCAGCAGCCGCGGUAAUACGUAAGGGUGCAAGCGUUAAUCAAGGUACUGGGCGUAAAGCGUGCGCAGACGGUUCGGAAAGAAAGAUGUGAAAUCCCCAGAGCUUAACUUUGGAACUGCAUUUUUGGCUGCCGAGCUAGAGUGUAUUCCGGAGGUGGAAUUCCGCGUGUAGCAGUGAAAUGCGUAGAUAUGCCGGAGGAACACCGAUGGCGAAGGCAGCCUCCUGGGAUAACACUGACUCAUGCGGCAGUAAGGAGCAAACAGGAUUAGAUGCCUGGUAGUCCACGCCCUGAAACGGUAUCAACUAGCUGUUGGGGCGCUGGGCCCUUGGUAGCGCAGCUAACGCGUGAAGUUGACCGCCUGGGAAGUACGGUCUGCAGUUAAAGAGCUCAAAGGUGGGCGGGGACCCACGCUGGCGGACGAUGAUGGUUAAUUCGAUGCAACGCGAAAAGACGCACCUACCCGCAAUGGAUCGAAGAUUUGGGAGUGCUCGCGAAGGCGGAACACAGGUGCUGCAUGGCUGUCGUCAGCUCGUGUCGUGAGAUGUUGGAUUGCGUCACAGCAAGCAACCGACAUUAGUUGCUACGAAGGGCACUCUAAUGAGACUGCCGGUGACAAACCGGAGGAAGGUGGGGAUGACGUCAAGUCCUCGCCCGAGCAUAUAGGUGAGGCUUCAUCAUACAAUGGUCGGGACAGAGGGUCACCAACCCGCGAGGGGGAGCCAAUCCCAGAAACCCGAUCGUAGUCCGGAUCGCAGUCUGCAACUCGACUGCGUGAAGUCAGAAUCGCUAGUGAAACCGCGGAUCAGCAUGUCGCGGUGAAUACGUUUGGAUGCGCCAUGCCGCCCGUCACUGUGGGGUGAGUUCACCAGAUGAUUAGCCUAACCGUAAAGAGGCUGGGAAUUACCACAGUAGGAUUCAUGACUGGGGUGAGUGCUAAGGUAA